Panicum hallii is the source of this 4432-nucleotide long non-coding RNA. RefSeq lists it as uncharacterized. NCBI's taxonomy places the organism in Eukaryota, Viridiplantae, Streptophyta, Magnoliopsida, Poales, Poaceae. The record is from RefSeq and is a predicted model, not a curated record. The transcript has 3 exons.
UGUACCCCUCUCCAAACCUUAUCCAUAUCAGUCUCCUCCAAUUUUCCCCAACCUUAUCCAUCUCCCACCGUCGAGCGGCCCCAAAAUCCCGGCGUCGAUCCCCAUCGGAUCCCACACGGUCGGACGGUCCCGUUGCGGCUGCCGCUUGCACGAGUUCCGCUCGGGCCCCCCUGGCCGUCAGCUCGCCAAGAGCUGCUCGAGCGGAGGGCUCCUGGUUGCCGCUGCUAGCGUGGCCGCGCGCGAGCCAGGGUGCCUGGCCGCUGUGCACUCGCAUGGCCAUGCUUGAGCAGUAUGUGUGUCGCCUGGAUGUCGCUAGCUCGCGUGGCUGUGCUCGAGGAGCACGCGGGCCCGCCUAGCCACCGUGCAUGCUAGCUGCUUGGGGAGCAUGGGUGGCUCGCGUGGCUAUGCUCGAGCAGCACGCUGGCUGCUGGGGGAGCAAGCCCGCCUAGCUACCGCAUGCAAGUCCCGCGCCGAUUCCCGCGUCGAAUCCCAAGUUGCACAAGAUUCGGCUAAGUACGAGGGACGGGCACGCCAACAAGAACCUGGACAGUUCUUGGCUUCCUGCAUGGAUGGACCCUAAGUCAAGUUACUUGCUGGAAAUUAGACUCAGUUACAAUCCCAAAAAGCGUAGGAAGGACAUUUCAUACUUUAGCUUCAGCAAGGUUGUGGAUUCUUCACUAUGCAAUUUCAAGGACCCCGUCGAAGAAAUUGUUAAUCAGUACUUGUUAGAAAUAUGCCCUAGAGGUAAUAAUAGAGAUGAUCAUAUUUUGUUGUAUCCAUGAUGUAUUAUGUGUUCAUUAAGUAUCCAUGAAAAGCAACUUGUAUUGAUUGGCAAUUAUGUGAAUUGUUUGUGAGACUCUUUACUUGUAUGGUUAUUCUAAAGUUGUUCCUAGUUGGAGUUCAUGCAUGAACACACAUGAAUAUUAGACUAGCACAUGUAUUAGUUGAUGAUAGACAUGGAGAUGUCAAACUAAUAAUGUGGGCGCAUGUAUGACAUGAGGCUGGACCGAUCCAAUUCGAGAAAUAGUGAUUUCUCAUUACACAAUGUGUACGUUGUGUCCUUAGACCUGAGAUUGUCGCAUGUACUCAAGAUGUGAACCGACCUACUUAAGAGCCAUCAAACGCUACACCGUAACUGGAUAGUUAUAAAAGUGGUUCUCGGGUUUGUCAACAAGCAUGCUGUGAGAUAUGAUCAGUCAAGAUGGGAUUUGCCCCUCUCUGCUUGAGAGAGAUAUCUCUGAGCCCCUUGAGUGAUCGGAUCAAGAAAUGCAUGGCCGUGCUAGGGUUAAGUAUUAACCAAGGAUUCCGGAUCACGGCAUCAAGAAAGAGAUGUCAGCUUGGAGCUAGACCAAAUAUCAUGAGGCAAAGGGAAUUGUAUAUGAGAUUGUGAUGGCUCGUCUGAUAUGAUCUUUGCGCGCGCAUAGGAGUUGACACGUCUUGCUAGAGGCCGCUGUCAACUAUUGGCUGAGUAGGAGUACUCGCGCCAUGUCUGUUCGCGCGUGAGCCCAUAGGGUCACGCACUUAAGGGGCUGGAAGCCUAAUGAGGAUAUGAUCCCAAUUAGACUGGGUUUAGGUGCACUAAUGGACAUCAGUUAGAAAGCCUAUUAGUGGGAACCUAUAAAAGAAGGGGUGGGGCACAUGGAGGUGCUAACCCUAAUUCCACGACUGCUGGCAGCCGCCUGUUCCCACGCCUGCGCCCACGGUUGCCCUCGUGGACCUAGCAGUCUGGAGUGCAAGGCUUCUUCCCCCUACGUGUGGAUACCUUGAAGGUGCUGCAUCUGCUGCAUGUGGAUGAGCUGCACGUGAGGAGGUUUUGUAACUGCACUGCCGGCGACCAACUGCACUACCCCGACGCGCUAUAGAAGUUCCGCACCCGCGCAUCUAGUGGUAAUUCCGUGAUCUAUAACAGCGGUUUUCCUGGUUUAUGCGGUGGAAAUUUUUAUUUAUCGCUAGCGUAGCCCACCUCAUAUCCCUUCAGUGGUAUCAAAGCCUGUAGCUGCUUCAUUAUAGGUUUGGAUGUAUGCGUAUGGAGAUAUGCGUGGAUGUAGAUGAAACCCUAAUCCUGUUUCGUGGCCUCGCUAUGAUGGUCGUGUAAUGACAUACUCCUACUGGUCGGGUAUCCGCCAUCGGAGUUAAGUGAUACACGUAAACCCAGUCAAAGCAGGCGGAGAUCAAUGAGAUUGGUCAAAUCAAAACCCAAGACGAAUCAUCAGAUGCUAUGAUGCGUGGGGUGGUAGAUUGUAUUUGCUACUGGAUUGGGGAAGUUGCAGAAACAUGCUAUUCGGUAAAACAGCCAUAACUUUUGCAUAUGAACUCGGAUUGAGGCGAAUUUUAUAUGAAAAUUCAUGUACAAAAAAUUUUACACAUGAAAUUCAACCCUUUCAGCAUUUUUUCUGAAAUUAGAUUUCCCAAAAAUGACUUGGAAAAUGGAGUUUCAGGCAUUCAAAGUUUAGAUGCUGUUGCGCCUAACUUGUUUUUGCGGGAUCAUGUGUGAUCGGUAUGGCCCUUAUAUGUAUGUGAUGCAUGUAUGUAAUUUUCACGAUCUGCAUGUCGUGAGUAAUGCAAUACGGUAGGAGCCAAAUGUAUUGCCAAUUUAUAUAAUGGCCUAUGUGCCAACCUGUGAUGAUCCGAUCCGACAAUGUAUCUAGAUUUCGGUAGUUAUAGUUCUUGGAGGACUCAUCACUUGGAGGAUGGUGCACAUGGAACAUGGAGAUGGAGAUCAUCAUGGUGGAUAGACUCUAUGGAGAUGGAGAUCACCAUGUGAAUAUGGGCCAUACUAAUUCACAACUAUGUGUUUGCCAUUCUUAUCAUUUUACUUCUACAUGCGAUAAUGUGUUUUCUGCAUACGGUAGAAGUAGACCGAUCAAUCCCUCGCAAUGUUUAAGUUUGAAUGCCCUCCCAACUAAACCUUGCUCCAUCGCGUGUCUUGUACAAUUAGUGGUGGGUCUAUGAAAUUAGGGUGCCACUAGUGUUCCUUGACUUGAUGAGUUUGUAUCGGAUACUUACAGGCAUAAAGGGUUGGUAAGCUUAAACAAGGUCAUCUUAACAGCUAAGGACCUUGGGGCAUAAAGGUUGGGAGCCGAGACAUAGAAAUGUCACCCAACAACAAGAGUCAUAUGUGAUAUGAUUAGCAAAGAGUUGCUUACCGAUCUACCUAUCUUCUAGCGGUGAUGCUAAAGCUCACUAGUUGACUUGAUAGUUGUGGGUCUUGAAUCACUAAGUAUAAAUGGAGGGAUAUUGAUUUUAGUGGGAGUAAAUUCUAUUAAAUGUUUAAUGUGAUUUACUCUAUCAUGGAUACAUUUGUCUUAGUAUUUUGCAUUAUUAUUCUGCUAUAGAUCAAUGGCACCCAGCACCACCACAUCUUUUAUUUUGCGUUCGAUCCUUGAGAAGGAUAAGUUGAAUGGGACUAACUAUACAGAUUGGAUCCAUAACCUGAGAAUUGUUCUCAGAGCUGAGAAAAAGAAAGAUGUUCUGGAUGCCCAUUACCAAAAGAGCCUGCUGAUGAUGCAACUGCUGCUGUCAAGAAUGCUUAUAAGAAAGCAUGCGACAACAAUCUUGAAGUGAGUUGCCUUAUGCUCGCUUGCAUGGAACCCGAGCUGCAGAUGCAGUUUGAGACAAACCGUGAGGCACAUGAUAUGAUCGUGGUGCUUCAGGACACGUUCCAGACACAAGCCAGGACUGAAAGGUUCAAUGUGUCCAAGGCCUUCGUUGAGAGCAAGCUGGCAGAGGGCGCAGCAGUGGGGCCGCAUGUGAUCAAGAUGGUUGGUUACAUGCAGAGGUUGGAGAAGCUGGGCUUCCCACUCGACUAAGAGUUGGCCACUGAUUUAAUUCUUGCGCCUUUACCUCCGAGCUAUGGGAAAUUCAUCUCGAACUACCACAUGCACAGGGCUGAAAAGGGCUUGAAUGAGCUAUGUGGCAUGCUCAAGAUAGUAGAAAGUGACAUCAAGAAGAGCACGGGUGGCGGUCAUGUGAUGGCGGUCCAGAACAAGCCUAACUUUGAGAAGAAGGGUACUUCUUGGAAGACGAAGGGCAAGGCUAAGGUUGAGAACCCCAAGCUGAACCAAGAUCCUAAGGCUAAAACUGGACCAACUGCUAACACUGACUGCUUUCACUGUCAUGAAAAGGGUCACUGGAAGAGAAACUGCAAGACGUACCUAGCUUCUUUGAAGGACCGCGGAAGUAAGAGUACUUCCACAUCAGGGGCUGACAAGAAGUAGAAGUGUGGCAAGAGGAGCAGUUGUUUUCCAGAGAGAGCAUCGGAUUUGCUGGAACUCAUACAUACUGAUGUGUGCAGACCAAUGGGCACGACAGCUAGAGGAGGAUUCCAAUACUUCAUAACUUUCACUGAUUUGAGUAGAUAUGUCUAUGUCUAUUUGAUGAAGCAUAAGUCUGAAACCUUUGAAAAGUUCAAGGAAUUUCAUAAUGAGAUUGA